This 375-nucleotide ribosomal RNA is filed under the name uncultured eukaryote. Its description in RNAcentral is "partial 18S ribosomal RNA". It matches the Rfam family "Eukaryotic small subunit ribosomal RNA", at positions 592 to 976 of the family's 1831-position model. The record is from RNAcentral.
CAAUAGCGUAUAUUUAAGUUGUUGCAGUUAAAAAGCUCGUAGUUGGAUUUCGGUUAAGAGCGACCGGUCCGCCGUUUGGUGUGCACUGGUUGGUUUUAACUUCCUGUAGAGGACGUGCUCUGGGUUUAACGACCUGGACUCGGAGUCUACGUGGUUACUUUGAAAAAAUUAGAGUGUUCAAAGCGGGCUUACGCUUGAAUAUUUCGGCAUGGAAUAACACUAUAGGACUCCUGUCCUAUUUCGUUGGUCUCGGGACGGGAGUAAUGAUUAAGAGGAACAGUUGGGGGCAUUCGUAUUUCAUUGUCAGAGGUGAAAUUCUUGGAUUUAUGAAAGACGAACUGCUGCGAAAGCGUCUGCUAAGGAUGUUUUCAUUGA